Molecule: long non-coding RNA, 835 nt
Filed under: Homo sapiens (human)
Lineage: Eukaryota; Metazoa; Chordata; Mammalia; Primates; Hominidae
Description: HSALNT0317157
Source: RNAcentral
AAAAAGAAAAAAGAAACCACUUUCUUUGCUUGUCCAUAAAAAGCAAUGUUUCAUCUGUUCAAGUUUUAUCAUAUUACAACAGAACUAAUUCUAGUUCUAUUGCUGUCUCUACCAUAUCUGCAGUUACUUCCUCCUCUUAAGUCCCAAACUCUUCAAAGUCAUCCAUGAGGGUUGGAAUCAACUUCUUCCAAACUGUUAAUGGUGACAUUCUGACCUCCUCCCAUGAAUCCUGAAUGGUCUUAACAGCAUCUAAAAUGGCUCAUCCUGUCCUUUCCCUGCUCCAGCUAUGGAAUCUACCAUAUCUCCAAAGAAUCCUGGAAGAGCCUCUCCUGAGACAAAAUCAUAUAUCAGAAAACUAAUAAGACAGGAAAUUUAAGUACACGUUGAAAGAAAAAGAUACUUUGUUACACGAAGCUGAAGUCAGUGAAACUUGUAACAAGGCAGGCUCAAACAGAGGUACCAACUACAGAAUCUCGCCCUGUCGCUCAGGCUGGAGUGCAGUGGCAGGAUCUUGGCUCACCGCAAGCUCCGCCUCCCGGGUUCACACCAUUCUCCUGCCUCAGCCUCCCAAGUAGCUGGGACUAUAGGCACCCACCACCACACCUGGCUAAGUUUUUUGUAUUUUUAGUAGAGACGGGGUUUCACUGUGUUAGCCAGGAUGGUCUUGAUCUUCUGACCUUGUUUUCCACCCAUCUUGGCCUCCCAAAGUGCUGGGAUUACAAGCGUGAGCCACCGUGCUCAGCCCAGUUCCUUGUAACUUUUCUGUAAGUUUGAGAUUAAAUGGAUCAACAAACAAAUGGAAAUGGGAAAGGUGGAAAGGUAGUAAGGUAGAGGG